AAUGAACGUUGGCGGCGUGGAUUAGGCAUGCAAGUCGAGCGCGAUAUGUAGCAAUACAUGGAGAGCGGCGAAAGGGAGAGUAAUACGUAGGUAUCUACCCUCGGGUCUGGGAUAGCAGCGGGAAACUGCUGGUAAUACCAGAUAACGUCUCCGGACCAAAGGUGUGAUUCCACCUGAGGAGGAGCCUACGGCCUAUUAGCUAGUUGGUGGGGUAAUGGCCUACCAAGGCAGAGAUGGGUAUGGGGUGUGAGAGCAUGCCCCCACUCACUGGGACUGAGACACUGCCCAGACACCUACGGGUGGCAG
Molecule: ribosomal RNA, 306 nt
Filed under: uncultured Planctomycetota bacterium
Lineage: Bacteria; Pseudomonadati; Planctomycetota
Description: bacterial SSU rRNA
Rfam family: Bacterial small subunit ribosomal RNA
Source: RNAcentral